UUACAACCCAUCAGAACUAAUGAGUCAUCUAUAAACAUAUACCAAGAAUAAUGCUAGAACUAGUAAUAAGAAACAACUUCUCCAUGCCCAAGUGUAAACCAGAUUGAACCUAUCACUGAUAUUUACCACCCAUAAAAACAAUAUAACAUUAAACAAGACUGCCACAAACCAACAUCCGUUAAUCCAACACAGGAGGGCCACAAGAAAGACUUAAAAAUAAGGAAGGAAUUCAGCAAACAACAUACUUCGCCUGUUUACCAAAAACAUCGCCUCUAGCAAAUAAGACAUAUAUUAGAGGUACUGCCUGCCCAGUGAUCAUAUUCAACGGCCGCGGUAUCCUGACCGUGCAAAGGUAGCAUAAUCACUUGUCUUUUAAAUAAAGACUAGUAUGAACGGCAAGACGAAAGUUUAACUGUCUCCCCUAUUUAGUCAAUGAACCUGAUCUCCUCGUACAAAAGCGAGGAUAAAACGACAAGACGAGAAGACCCUGUGAAGCUUAAAACACAAUCAACUUUACCAAAUAGCUAUGACCUAAUGUUUUUGGUUGGGGCGACCGCGGAGAAAAAAAUCCCCCGAGAUGAGGUACUAAGAAGACAAAUCUAAGUACUAGCACAUCUAGCACAUUUGACCCAAUUAACUUUGAGCAACGAACCAAGUUACCCCAGGGAUAACAGCGCAAUCCCCUCCAAGAGUCCAUAUCGACAAGGGGGUUUACGACCUCGAUGUUGGAUCAGAGCACCCAAACAGU
This 748-nucleotide ribosomal RNA is filed under the name Herpele squalostoma. Its description in RNAcentral is "partial 16S ribosomal RNA". It matches the Rfam family "Bacterial large subunit ribosomal RNA", at positions 1500 to 2554 of the family's 2925-position model. Lineage: Eukaryota; Metazoa; Chordata; Amphibia; Gymnophiona; Herpelidae. The record is from RNAcentral.